AUAUUGGGCAAUGGAGGCAACUCUGACCCAGCAACGCCGCGUGAAUGAUGAAGGUCUUCGGAUUGUAAAGUUCUUUUCUAAGGGAAGAAGAAAGUGACGGUACCUUAGGAAUAAGCCACGGCUAACUACGUGCCAGCAGCCGCGGUAAUACGUAGGUGGCAAGCGUUAUCCGGAUUUACUGGGUGUAAAGGGCGUGUAGGCGGGGACGCAAGUCAGAUGUGAAAACCACGGGCUCAACCUGUGGCCUGCAUUUGAAACUGUGUUUCUUGAGUACUGGAGAGGCAGACGGAAUUCCUAGUGUAGCGGUGAAAUGCGUAGAUAUUAGGAGGAACACCAGUGGCGAAGGCGGUCUGCUGGACAGCAACUGACGCUGAGGCGCGAAAGCGUGGGGAGCAAACAG
This 400-nucleotide ribosomal RNA is filed under the name uncultured bacterium. RNAcentral describes it as "bacterial SSU rRNA". It matches the Rfam family "Bacterial small subunit ribosomal RNA", at positions 361 to 775 of the family's 1533-position model. The record is from RNAcentral.